AUUGAACGCUGGCGGCAUGCCUUACACAUGCAAGUCGAACGGUAACAGGUCUUCGGAUGCUGACGAGUGGCGAACGGGUGAGUAAUACAUCGGAACGUGCCUAGUAGUGGGGGAUAACUACUCGAAAGAGUGGCUAAUACCGCAUGAGAUCUACGGAUGAAAGCAGGGGAUCGCAAGACCUUGUGCUACUAGAGCGGCGGAUGGCAGAUUAGGUAGUUGGUGGGAUAAAAGCUUACCAAGCCGACGAUCUGUAGCUGGUCUGAGAGGACGAUCAGCCACACUGGGACUGAGACACGGCCCAGACCCCUACGGGAGGCAGCAGUGGGGAAUUUUGGACAAUGGGCGCAAGCCUGAUCCAGCAAUGCCGCGUGCAGGAUGAAGGCCUUCGGGUUGUAAACUGCUUUUGUACGGAACGAAAAGCCCUGGGUUAAUACCCUGGGGUCAUGACGGUACCGUAAGAAUAAGCACCGGCUAACUACGUGCCAGCCGCCGCUGUAA
Molecule: ribosomal RNA, 498 nt
Filed under: uncultured bacterium
Lineage: Bacteria
Description: partial 16S ribosomal RNA
Rfam family: Bacterial small subunit ribosomal RNA
Source: RNAcentral